Molecule: ribosomal RNA, 253 nt
Filed under: uncultured bacterium
Lineage: Bacteria
Description: partial 16S ribosomal RNA
Rfam family: Bacterial small subunit ribosomal RNA
Source: RNAcentral
UACGUAGGGGGCAAGCGUUGUCCGGAAUCAUUGGGCGUAAAGAGCGUGUAGGCGGCCCGGUAAGUCCGCCGUGAAAGUCCAGGGCUCAACCCUGGAAUGCCGGUGGAUACUGUCGGGCUCGAAUCCGGAAGAGGUGAGUGGAAUUCCUGGUGUAGCGGUGAAAUGCGCAGAUAUCAGGAGGAACACCAAUGGCGAAGGCAGCUCACUGGGACGGUAUUGACGCUGAGACGCGAAAGCGUGGGGAGCAAACAGG